ACUUUUAAGUUAAAUCAAGUAGGGUAGCAUUUUUUUCUUGAUGUUGAAAACAAGUGACAUCUUUUUUGUGCUUCCAAAUAAGAAAGCUUUUGUGAAAAGUUUGUUGUCAGUUUCUAAUCGAUCAGUACAGAAAUUCCCCUACAACUUGAAAAACUUAAGAAAAUUUUCACAAAGUGAUCUUUGGUAGUCUUCAUGAUUUCUUUAGUAAUCUAAAUUUUCAGUAUAUCAUUGCCUUAACUACAACAUGUUAUACAACCACUUAUGAUACAGUUGCAAGCUAAAGUGAGCAAAAUUCAAAAAAGUGUAUUCUUGUAGUUUCGAGAGACUGUUUAGUUUAACUUUAUGCUUUUCAUUAUAUUACAUACGACGAGACAUUUCCUUCCCAAUAUUAAUUUAACAUUUUUUCAAUUGUUUUAACGGCUUCUGAGUUGAGCUGCAGCCAGUUGGCGGAAGUUGUGAAGAAUUUAGCUGUUGCAAUCAGUUUAUGACUGAGGCAUCCCAUGCAGAAACCAGAAAUGAUAAGCAUGGCGGAGAUCUUGCCUUUCUCAACGUGCGGUGCCGUGUCAACAAGAUGUCUCUUUGAUGAGGUCUCUACUAUGUUGGAGAACAAAAAUGUGAAGAAAACAGGAAAUCUGAAAUGGUUUCCAUGGUCAGUUUGAUGUUUGAGCUGUUUAUGGUGUUGCUGUUUGGUGUGAAGUGGGUUUACAGUCAUUUUCCACCCGAGAGAUGCGCUGAAAUGGAGCUUCGUCAGACUUGCAGUUCAACAUCAUACUCAAUGUGUUAUUUCCCUAUGUUUGUGUCCGUGAGUGUUGAGGCUGUUGGGCUAAACAGUUAACCUCUUUUUUUUUGUGUUGGUGAGUGUUACGGAAGCUGCAUCAUUGUUUUGUUGAAUUGUCAUUGUGUCUGCAGUUUACCGUUUAUAUGUUAGGAAGAGAAAAAACAGAAUCUUGGGGAAUUUAUAUCAAACAAAUAAUAAACAAGGUUUCGGGAUUGGGAAAGGAAUGUGGAGGUUGUCAGGUGGGAGGGUGAUGACUUGAAUUUUCAUAUCUCAAUAUAUAAUGAGGUAUGUUAAUAUGUACUGACGCGAUACAUGUGGAUAAAAACUUAA
This is a long non-coding RNA of Daphnia pulex (common water flea), 1108 nucleotides long. RefSeq lists it as uncharacterized. The record is from RefSeq and is a predicted model, not a curated record. NCBI's taxonomy places the organism in Eukaryota, Metazoa, Arthropoda, Branchiopoda, Diplostraca, Daphniidae. The transcript has 3 exons.